GACGAACGCUGGCGGCGUGCCUAAUACAUGCAAGUAGAACGCUGAAGGAGGAGCUUGCUUCUCUGGAUGAGUUGCGAACGGGUGAGUAACGCGUAGGUAACCUGCCUGGUAGCGGGGGAUAACUAUUGGAAACGAUAGCUAAUACCGCAUAAUAGUAGAUGUUGCAUGACAUUUGCCUAAAAGGUGCAAUUGCAUCACUACCAGAUGGACCUGCGUUGUAUUAGCUAGUUGGUGGGGUAACGGCUCACCAAGGCGACGAUACAUAGCCGACCUGGGAGGGUGAUCGGCCACACUGGGACUGGGACACGGCCCAGACUCCUACGGGAGGCAGCAGUAGGGGAUCUUCGGCAAUGGACGGAAGUCUGACUGAGCAACGCCGCGUGAGUGAAGAAGGGUUUCGGAUCGGAAAGCUCUGUUGUAAGGGAAGAACGAGUGUGAGAGUGGAAAGUUCACACUGUGACGGUAUCUUACCAGAAAGGGACGGCUAACUACGUG
Molecule: ribosomal RNA, 495 nt
Filed under: uncultured bacterium
Lineage: Bacteria
Description: partial 16S ribosomal RNA
Rfam family: Bacterial small subunit ribosomal RNA
Source: RNAcentral